UGUAACACCCCUCUCAAAUUAAAUGAGAUAAAAGCUUUCAACUAUAGCAAUUCUGGAGAGGACAAGUGACGGGAUUCUAUUGGUCGGAGCAUUAAAAUUUGAAUAACACUCUGUUUACACCCUGUAUUUAACUGCCUGUUAGUAACACCGUCAACAAAAACGUGGGUGUACAACACUUAUCCGUGGAUUUACACUUAAAUAAUUACUUACACUUGAUUUACACCAAAUACUUAACUGGACGUUAUUAACGUCAGUCAGUUAGGUAGACAAUACUUCCGUCCAAAUUUAACCCUACCUGAGAUAACAUUUUCAUAUUCUUAUUCGCGUAGUUUUAUUUUUGCAGCUUCUCAGUUUUUGUUUUCUUCUUCAAUGAAAAACGGUUGUGAAGAAGAUAGCAGUUAACAACAAUGAAUCUGAAAUCGAGAAUCUGCAGUUAUUGUUGGACCUGGGUUUUACUGGGUUCGAUCUGAGAUAGAAAUUUGGGGUCGCGGCAGAUUUUAGGUUAAUCAUAGUCGAACAAAACCAGGUGCUGUGUUUUUCUUCUUAAACAAACCAUGGUUCUUCCCUGAUUUCGCAGGGUUUCCAGAUUUCCUCUAAUUAGUAGAGGGUUCAGAUGUGAUUUUUCGUAUGGGCAUAACAAGGUAAACAACUCCAGUGUCAGACUUGGCGGAGAGAACUUUUAGCACCUGAAAGGCAUAAGCCAAAUGUUAGGAAGCGUGUCGAGAUUUUGGGGGAGAUUCAGAGGUUUGAUAUUGUGAAUGGAGUUACAAAGCAAGUCGAGGCUUACAAAGAAGCAUAUAAAAACGCACAAGGUACAAUACUCGAUAAAUCUUUGUUUGAGUUAAAAAAAAAAUCGUAGCAGUCCUUGAAUUAACGUUAACUUCACGUGUGCGCAUGUUUGAAGUGGAGAAGGGUGUUCUCAAGUUUGGCUCAUUUCUAUGAAGAGAAAUGAAGUACUAGCAAAGGAGAAAAUGAGUUGUAAUGAAGGUCCCCUUGAGCCUAAGGGGUUCAAGCUCGAUUUCUAUUCUGAUGAGAAUCCAUAUUUCAAUAAUGCAGUCCCGACAAAAACUUAUCAUGUGCUAGAUGAUGAUGAAAUAGAUGGAUACAAACAUGUUAAUGGAAAGCCAAGAAAUAGAGGAACGAUUUGCAAAACUGACUCUACGAACACUGUAAUAAGAAAGAUUAGUGAUACCAGAUACAGUAUAUGAUUUUUGUUAGAAACUUAUAACGUAUGGGGAGUAUUUGUUUCCUCCAUCCUUUGUUUUAUCCUCUACAAGGAAUGUGUAUACAAAGAUCUUAUAUACAGGAGAAAAAGAAUAAAAUAAAUUUCAAAGUUACCAAGUCAUGUAGAUAUGGAAUACUGUCUUGUACUCGGCUGGUGUUGAGAUUCUUUAAAAAACAUCAAAGUGGACUUUCAUUUUAACUAACAUUUAGAAUUUUAUUCUUUUUUCCGAUCAAAAUCCAAGCUUAUUAUACGGUGCGGAUAUGAUGUGGUCGGGCCGCAUACUCAAAGUAUGUGG
This is a long non-coding RNA of Papaver somniferum (opium poppy), 1520 nucleotides long. RefSeq lists it as uncharacterized. The transcript is spliced from 5 exons. NCBI's taxonomy places the organism in Eukaryota, Viridiplantae, Streptophyta, Magnoliopsida, Ranunculales, Papaveraceae. The record is from RefSeq and is a predicted model, not a curated record.